This 7304-nucleotide long non-coding RNA is filed under the name Coffea arabica (coffee). RNAcentral describes it as "long non-coding RNA (CARA_LNC004343)". Lineage: Eukaryota; Viridiplantae; Streptophyta; Magnoliopsida; Gentianales; Rubiaceae. The record is from RNAcentral.
UGCUUGAUUCCAGGGAACUUGAUUGAUUUGAUAAUCCUUCAGCAGACCCAAAAUCGCCUGGGAACUUAUAGAAACCAAGGCUACUAUUUCCAGAAAGGUCCCCUCCCCCAAAAGAUCCAAAAGGUACAUAGAAGCCUGAACUUGGCCCAAAAAGUGCAUUAUCAACUAAGCUUUCUUGUCCACUAGUUGCUGGUGCCAUUAGAUCAGUCUGUGAGACUGUAAGAGCUGAACUAACAUGUGGUAGUCCAGGUGAAACUGCUGGAAAAUAAGGUGGUGUCACUGGGAUCUGGUGCGGAGAGUAAAACUGGCCAUCAAUCAUUAUUGUGGAGAUUGGACUCGGAAUGGGAGAGAACUGUCCAUAUGCCAUCUGGGUGUCAUAGCCAUAACCAGGAGGGAAAAAUAGUGAUGGAUUUUCAUUAUACAUUCCCUACAUGUAGCAAAAUACCCAAUUUCAUAAACAGAAUAAAAAAGUCUGUCUCAUGCCUCUGUGCAUAAUUAGUCAAGGCAACAAUAUCAAAUUGAUGAAACUCACUGGAGGUACAACAUGUAAGCUGUUAGGAUUAACAUAGUUAGAAUGCUCAUCCCAGUUCCCAGUGCCAUUGUCAAGACCUGAACCAAGGAAAGAUGAAUAAUGAGUUUUAAGUACAACAAAAAAAAUGAUGAACAAUGAAAACUUUAUGUACAUUGGAGAAAAGUACAAGGAACCAAAAAAGCAAAACACAUGCCAAACUAACAAACAGUGAUUCAAAGAUGUGGAAGUUGAGAAAAAUUGGUACACUACAUAUCAGUACUAAAGUAAUUAAGCCCAAUAUUCACCUCAGUAUUACAGUUUCAAACUCGUGACAUGUUGACCAGAACCUUCACAAAGAGCAUAAGAUUCACAAAUUUUAUGCUGCUGAAACCCCAUGAAAAUAUUAAGCAAGAGGGAACAACACCCCUCUCUUGCAGCCAUAAAAAGGAGCAAAAAUAAUUGUAACACCCACAAAGCAAUACAACGCCCCAUGAAAGAAUGGCAGAUACACACAGUUCAACACAGUCGAAAGCUCUGUCAUGAGAACAGAACCAACAAAGAUAUCAUGUAGCCCACAUGUAUGGUCAGAGAAACGUUGAGAAGAAGACUAUAGCUGCUAAAUCAGCAAGAACAGCACUAUAAAAGGACCUAACCUCCAAAGUAAAAACUUUGUUCAUGCGGCACAUCAAGUGGAUGCACAGUGGUAAGAGCUCCACUCUUAUCCAAGGGAACAGGCUGAUCUUUGGCAUUUCUUGGAGCCCCUGAGAUGGCUGCAUCCGGAGAAGGAUUUGCAGAAAUAAUCCUUUCAUCUUUGGGCGAAAGUGGCUGAUAAUAGAUUGAAAAGGAAGUACUAAUAGACCUAAGCUAAUGGAGAAUUAGAGAAACAAAAGAAACACAGUACAAUCAUGAGUUAUAUGGAUUUACCUGUUCUGUCACAUUAUGCAAUUCAAUAGCUCGCUCCCCUGCAUUGAAACCAAAAAAUUCAUAAAGCAACCACACACUUAAUUGGUCAAGUAAGAAAGCAUGAUACCAUUCUUAUUUUCCUCUUUCUUAUCUAUUGCAGUGUGGGAAAGAAUAUUGACCUCAUUCCCACUUUAAAAUCAUCAAGAAUAUAAGUAAUACACCAAUUAUUUACCAGUAAUACAACAGACUAAGCAACCAUUAAGAAACAUUUAGUCUCAAAACGAACAUGUCAUCCCCAGAAGCAUUAGGUACAGGACAUAUAACAAUUGCAAAGUUUUCAACUGUUGAACAAAAUCACCAUGUCAUUAAUAGAUUCCCAACAUCCGCUUAUACAUAAAAGGGCCAUCUGCACAAACUCCACGUUGGAAACAUCCCCCCCCCCAAAACACAAUUCCCAUUACCAAAUAAUAGGGAGGUGGGAUUUAGUAAUUCUAUUAUGCCUGACUGUAAGAGAUUCCAAGAUUAGGCUAAGCUUUCAUCAGAAUGGGGACAAACAUGUGAUAAUACAAGUUCGACGAGAAAAAGCACCGUUUACUUUUUCGGCACACAAAAACAUCUUUCUGAUAAGGGCACAUCAAUCAAGAAAUUUUCUGCUGAGACCUUUCUGAGUAAACUUAACAUACAUGCCACCUUUCCACAUUUACGAAUACUACUGUUAUCACCUUUCCAGGAAAAGAAGCAUGCCAGCGAUAUUAAAACACCAUAAAUGAUCCUCAUUCUAUCUUGAACCCUAAUCAGCAUGCCAACGAUAAGCUUUUUUAAUGCAGAACCAAAUGAAUGGGCUACGACUCUACAGAAAGUCAUGAAGGUAGAUAAUAGCUGGAACAAGACAGCAGGACAGUACAUUGAUCUGUACAACACAUUGAGAGUCAAGUGGUAAUCAUCCUUCCAAGUCUCGUGGUGUAAAGGAAGGAUCUCUGUUUGUGUCAUAUAGCCUCUCUCGUUGAAGCUCCAACCGUGCUCUUUUUGGCUUGUCCUUAUUGUUUCUAACUCUUAGACGAGGUUUUUUGCGCUGUUGUUAAUAGAACACCUAGCGCCAUACAAAAGUUUCAAUAAAACAGAUGAAUAAAGGACUUUUCUCUCACUUGAAACCACAAGCGAAAAUGAAUCUGACAUUUUUUAACCUUAUUUCCAUACAAUUACAUUGUUGGAGACUGCAUUUUGUCAGCUUUACAAAUUUCAAUUUACGUCGCCACUAAAUUUUGACCCUGGAGUUCCAGGAUGGCAAGCUUAUACGAUAAGGGGGCAACAAUCUAACUUGAUUCGUUGCCUAACCAACCACUAGCUGCAAAAAUGAAAAAUGUAGGCAAACACAUGAGAAGUGGAAAUUGCCUCUUUAAGGGGGCAGGGAGGGGGAAAUGAAUGUCUUUCAUACUUCCAUAUCCUUGCCUUGUGCUUAAUUCACUCAUAAGGAAAAUCUCCUCCCUCACUUAUACCCUCCAAGAUGAACAACUGACAACAAUAAAAUCAGGUUGCAAACGUACAUGUAGAACAAAAACUUAGUUUAGCCAUCCUUCAAACAUCAAAAUAAGAUGCCAGUCCUUGUUGCACAAUGACAGACUUCCUGAAGUUAGUUUAUGGUAUUCCAAAGCAAUACAGUACUUGUCGGACUCUAGUGCACAGAAAAAGAUAAACCUAGAUUGGAAAAAAGAGAUCUGGACCAUCUGGUUAUUUUACAAGAUCAGCUGUCAAAAAGAGGGUACUCAUUAGGCUCCUGUAACAUAAUGCUGUAUUUCUUCAUUCAACUGUCACCAAUUUGGGGAUUUUACAGACUUUACUGCGCAGCAGGUCAAAAUAAUUGCUUUUCAGAGAAAGAGAAGACUAGACGUACAAACAGUAAGCAUCAGUGUGUGAACUAAACACACUUCCAAAGAAACAUCAGAUUUAACCACCUUCAUAUGCCUGAUGCCACCUACAUCAUAAGAGAACUGCCAAAGUAAUAAACGGAAAAAAAAAAAAAAAAAGGAGAGAGAGAGAGACGGAAUCAGGAUUUGAAAUUUUCUCCCUGCUCCUCCUCAUCCCCAACAACUUCAUUGUACAACCAACUACUUCAAACAAUCAACAAAUAUGUGAGCGAGAGAGAAAGGAGAGGAUGAGAGAUGGUCUGUCUGAGGUAAACGAAAUACCACCUUAAAAGAUCACAGUCAGUGACGUCCAGUCAUAUGACCAUUGCAGCAGCCAAAAUAACUACACCUAAUUCCAUCCGGUUUAUAACAUCGUUCUUCCUGCUAUCCAUCUCGGACCACUAUGAACUACUCCAACUCUGUUUUUGGUAGCUUCUUACUACCGUCCAAGUUCAGAGUAUCAGCCAGGUUGUCUGACAGUUGAUUAAUUGGAUCAGCAAGAGCAAUAGUAGAGUUUCCUGUCACACUAGCUCGUUGCUUUGCCUUCUUUUCCAACAAGGCUUUCUCCCGCUCAUCAUAGAAUGUAAAAUCAUCUAAAAGGGAUGUAUCAGCUUCAUAGUCCUUGAAAAUCUUAAGCAUUUCAAUUCCUUGCUCAAGUUUCACCUGAAUAGAAGUCAGUGGUUAGUCAUAAUGGGAAAAUAGCAAAUUCAACAAAAUGAUUUAAAGCAGUUACUAGGAAAGAUCAAAACUUUGAAAAACUUGCUAGAACUCUCAAAAGUAUCAAGCUUUGUCUGUAACCUCUAGAAAGAUGGAUGACAUUUAUCUCAAUGUCCCAAAGGGCCUAUACAAGACCCACAUGUCAAUGGUGACACAAAAACCAAAGACAAGUAGAUCAAUUAGUGUUUUCCACCCAUGCUCGGAAUUUUCUUGAGCAAAAAAGGUGCUGUUUCAAAACCAAGUCUAAUUCUUUGUGAUCAUUACAAAUUUUGGGACGGUAGAGGUGGGGGAAGAGGAGAAAAAUAAGAUGUAACUCUAAUUUAAGGGGAUAAUUCAAAGCUCAACAGCUUCAUACUCAGAAACACAAUUUCAAGACGCAAAUAAAACAAAUACAGAACCCCUCACCUCUUGAGAGUCUCGACUGUGAGUAACAGGCUUGUUGUCAUUAUUUUCAAGAAGUAUGUGGCGGAACCGACUAUUGGGCACAUCUUUGACAACAUGCCAUUUCACAGGGAACUGCCCGCUCCACCUAUCCUGCUGCCAGUACUCCGCAUCAUUUUCAAAAUCAACAGGUCCAACCAUCUCAGCUAUCCCACAAAACUGUCCACUAGCAUUUACCUGAAGGAUACAAAUAGUACAUUGACAAAAGGUCUUUAAACUAUCAAAUUAAUGACCAGGGUAAGGUUGAGGCAAUGAAAAAGCAAUGUAUCUAGUAUAAUUGUUAAAAAAAAAAAAACAAAAUUAAAUACUGUUUACAUUCAAUAAGGUCACUUUUGGUUACACGUAGUGAGUUCAUUCUUCCAUUAACCGAUUCACAAUGGAUCUUGGUCAUUGAUGUGUAAGUUACACGACCUCACAAGUCCCCAGACCAUCUAUACAAAUAUUUACAGGUGUUUUCCUUAUCAGCACGUUAAAGGCAAAAUUGCCACCACUCACCAGAACGUUGGUUUAAAACAGCCCCUGUACCUAUUAACAAUGACCCACCUUCCACCAGCAACUUAUUCUGAACUCUCUAACUAAAUGCUCCUUGUUCAUAUUCCUCAAAGUUGCUUUUCACUGCUUCUCAUGAACUUAUGUAUCACAUUACCUAACUUACAGUUAUAUGAAGAGAGGGACGUGGCAGAGGGGGAAGGGGGGAAGGGGGUGAGAGAAAGCAUGAUCACAAUAGAUUAUGAGUGUCACAAAAAGGUACCAAUGUGCUUCUAAAUGGAACAGUAUCACAUAUCUAUCAUCAUUCUGUUCUUGGCAUGAUCAGACUCAACCUCAAGCAGAAAAGACAUAAACGGAAACAAACAGGCUUCCAUAAAUCUGAUCCAGACGCUCAAAAAACAUACCGAGAAAAAAAGGAAGACCGGGGAGUUGCCUGUCAUGUCCUUUGCUUCAUGAUAAGCAGCAUCAAGCUUUCUGUUUCCAAGUGGUGUGCUAGCCCAAAUGCCAUACUUAAUGCUCUUGUGAACAUUAUCUUCACUGAAAGACUUGAUCACAAAAAACUUGGCAUUCUCAUAAUCAGUGACAAACUCUGGACUGUUAUACUGGUCAAGCUGAAAGCCAGAAGUAGAUUCAACAUCUUUACGUAUGCCAGAUGAAGCAUUCUCUUCAGCAGAAUUCUUGCUUUUUGGUUUUGAAGCCCUAGGUCCUCUAUUUCUAUCACUUGAAAUUCCUAAAGAAUCAUUAGAGUAGUUCAGAGAGUCCUUUUCUCUAUCACGCCUUCCUCCUUUAUCUAGACCCAGUCUGUUCCGCUGGUUAUCCCAGUGAGAACUGGAACCUGUACCAUAUUUCAUGCCCUGGUAAGAGCCACUAUGUGGAUAAUGUCUAGCAGACGAGCUUGACGCUAACCCCAGCCCUUGAUAUGGCGCCUGCAAUCCAAAAAUUAAUAACUAAAUCAACUGGUCCAGAAGCGAAAUGAGCCAAGUAGUUAAGCAAUUCAACAGAAAAGAAAAAAUACAAAGAGAAAGAAACAAAUUGAAAGUUGAUCUAGUUGCAGCUUUGAACAAAAAGUGCAGGAUGGCAUUAUAAAGAUGACAAAAAUAUUUCAACCUUCCAAACCAAAAAAAAAAGAUAGACAAAAUUAAUAAACUAAAUUAGCAUAGACCUUCAAAAGGAAAGUGAGACAAAAUUAACAAACUAAAUUAGCAUAUCUCAUGUCAUUCGUUUGUCAUUACUCACUUCAGAUAGACAUUUUACAUACUAAUAAACAUGUAGCCAACAAUUACAUUUUACAUGGUAAUAAACAUGUAGCCAACAAUGUGUAAGGAAUAAAAUCUUUAAGCAACUAUGAAGAUGCAUUCUAGGAGUGCAGAAUGCUCAAUAUUUCAGGAAAAGAAAAGAAUUUGAAUGACGUUACUGAUGCAAUUGCCUGCCGCUAGUUUAACCACAAAAUGUAGAUGGCAUAGUCAUUUGGACAUGUGAUUUAAUUUUUUUAAAAAAAAGAAGAGCAUGGGGCUAGACGCAGACCACCCUUUCAGACAUAGAGCAAUAGUGCAUUCUGCUUUUAAAUAAAUCCAGCAAUGACUGUCAAAAGAUUAUUACUCAACUACUAAAAUUUGUAAACUUCCAAACUUAUUCUGUUGGCAACAAACUCAAGAAAUAAGAAUAGAAAAAAUUCCGGCAAUGGUGGAGCACAAAGUAUCAAAAAUAUCAAGUACAAACAAGCAUCCUGGAUGCUACUUUUUCUUAGAUAUUCUUGUCACUUAAACAAAUACAUUUGAGUAACCAAUAAAAAUAGGCUGAUUAAGAUUAAGUCAAGUCAAGAAAUGAAGAAAAGAAUACAUGAAACAUGAAUAAUGCCCAAUUGCAAUGAAUUAUUUCAUGAACAAGAAGAGUUAUUCAGCUUCACGUCAUGUAAAGUUUACAAGAGGACAAGAAAUAUAUUUAAAAAACAAUAAUUGAUAUCAGAAAAAUAGUUCCAAUUAUUCUUCUCGCAGAUAUCACUACAUAGAAUCAAGGAGAUCAUGAGACAACUAACCUGAGCAAGAUUUUGCUCAUAUGGCCCAAGAAUGCCAAUUGGCUGUGGAUAUACCGCUCCUGAUGUUAACUGAGACAUGUACCUGCUUGAUUCCAGGGAACUUGAUUGAUUUGAUAAUCCUUCAGCAGACCCAAAAUCGCCUGGGAACUUAUAGAAACCAAGGCUACUAUUUCCAGAAAGGUCCCCUCCCCCAAAAGAUCCAAAAGGUACAUAGAAGCCUGAACUUGGCCCAAAAAGUGCAUUAUCAACUAAGCUUUCUUGUCCACUAGUUGCUGGUGCCAUUAGAUCAGUCUGUGAGACUGUA